GCUUAAAACUCAAAGGACUUGGCGGUGCUUUACAUCCCUCUAUAGGAGCCUGUUCUAUAAUCGAUAAACCCCGAUAUACCUCACCACCCCUUGCUAAUCCAGCCUAUAUACCGCCAUCUUCAGCAAACCCUAACAAGGAACAAAAGUAAGCACAAAUAAUCAAACACAUAAAAGUUAGGUCAAGGUGUA
Molecule: ribosomal RNA, 189 nt
Filed under: Leopardus guttulus (Southern oncilla)
Lineage: Eukaryota; Metazoa; Chordata; Mammalia; Carnivora; Felidae
Description: partial 12S ribosomal RNA
Source: RNAcentral